Molecule: ribosomal RNA, 587 nt
Filed under: uncultured Glomus
Lineage: Eukaryota; Fungi; Glomeromycota; Glomeromycetes; Glomerales; Glomeraceae
Description: eukaryotic LSU rRNA
Rfam family: Eukaryotic large subunit ribosomal RNA
Source: RNAcentral
CAUGGAGGGUGAGAAUCCCGUUCAUGGUUAAUCUUAAGGAAGCUCUACGAUACGUUUUCCAAGAGUCGAGUUGUUUGGGAUUGCAGCUCAAAAUGGGAGGUAAAUUUCUCCUAAGGCUAAAUAUUGGCGAGAGACCGAUAGCGAACAAGUACCGUGAGGGAAAGAUGAAAAGGACUUUGAAAAGAGAGUUAAACAGUACGUGAAAUUGUUGAAAGGGAAACGAUUGAAGUCAGUCACACCAACGGGAAAUCAACCUUUUGAGCUCGGUCUCGUGGGUUUUGAAGAGUUUCAAAGCCUUCGGAUUCGCGAGUUUGGGAUCUCUUGGUGUACUUUUUCGUACGGUUAGUCAACAUCGGUUUUGAAUGUCAUAAAAUGACUGGAGGAAUGUAGCUUUGAUCUCGUAUUGAAGUGUUAUAGCCUUUGGUAGAUGUGAUGUUUGAGACCGAGGAUUGCAACGGAUACCCUUCAGGGCUAUUCGUCUGAUCUCUGAUACGUUGCUCUGAUGUUGAAAGCUUGCUUAUGAUGUUAGGGUAUUACGGUCAAAAGGUUAGAACGAAUUACAUUCGUUAAGGAUGUUGACGUAAUGG